This 497-nucleotide ribosomal RNA is filed under the name uncultured bacterium. RNAcentral's name for it is "partial 16S ribosomal RNA". It matches the Rfam family "Bacterial small subunit ribosomal RNA", at positions 28 to 507 of the family's 1533-position model. The record is from RNAcentral.
GAUGAACGCUGGCGGCGUGCCUAAUACAUGCAAGUCGAGCGAACAGACGAGGAGCUUGCUCCUCUGACGUUAGCGGCGGACGGGUGAGUAACACGUGGAUAACCUACCUAUAAGACUGGGAUAACUUCGGGAAACCGGAGCUAAUACCGGAUAAUAUAUUGAACCGCAUGGUUCAAUAGUGAAAGACGGUUUUGCUGUCACUUAUAGAUGGAUCCGCGCCGCAUUAGCUAGUUGGUAAGGUAACGGCUUACCAAGGCGACGAUGCGUAGCCGACCUGAGAGGGGGAUCGGCCACACUGGAACUGGGACACGGUCCAGACUCCUACGGGAGGCAGCAGUAGGGAAUCUUCCGCAAUGGGCGAAAGCCUGACGGAGCAACGCCGCGUGAGUGAUGAAGGUCUUCGGAUCGUAAAACUCUGUUAUUAGGGAAGAACAAAUGUGUAAGUAACUAUGCACGUCUUGACGGUACCUAAUCAGAAAGCCACGGCUAACUACGUG